AUUUUCGUUUUUGGGUGAAAUAACCCUUUAAUUAAAUUGAGGAAAUCCUUUUGCCUUGAGAAAAUUAAGUAACCACAACUUAUUGUAUAUGUGUACUUAAGAGCUCGCUUGUGACUGAUUUGAUAUAAUCUCAUUUUAUUAUUUCUUUUAAAGUCUUCACAAAAAUUGUAGGCUAAUACAGUUCUUAAAAAAUACAGAGUAGUAGAGUUUAUUCCUCUACUUCCAUAAACUGCACAAAAACUCUUCUCUGAGAAUAGAUAACAUUUUAAAUCAUCAAUCUGUAAUUACUUUAAAUUUCAAUAUGAGAAUUUAGGAAGUAGACUAGUAUGUUGUGGGAUUCGCGGUAGAUUCCCAAUACAGUGACUUGACUUUUAAAAGCAGGUGACUGGAUUGGUUAAUGUGUUCAUAUGAAGGUCUGUUAUGCUUUUUAAAAUUGUUAUGCCCUUAAACAUCAUAACAGUAAUCUUUGCGCAAAACGUUUGUCCAAAAGCAGAGUAAUGAGUCAGCUGUGCAAAGUGGCAGUGGACCUAUGUGUGUUUUGCAUAACUCCAAUGCUCCCUCUUCCCCAUUCCGAUCAAACCAUCACACGAUGGAUUACUGACUUUGUAUGAGAGGACGUUGAAGGAUAAAACAUGAAGGUAAAUAGCCACAGUAAUGGACUCGGCUAAAGAUGACAUGGGUAAUUUUCUCUCAUUCUCUAUCUUUCUUAUUGGCUUGUAAGGUAUUUUGGUAAUUAAUCAGUUUUUAAUCAACUGUCUCAGCCUUUCUUUAAUCUUGUCGGUUACUAUGGCAAAACUCUUUUAUUUGUGAAAGUGUGAAAGGAAAGUGAAAAGCCAUUGUGAUAUUUGAAUUGUUUAAGGUUAAUGUCUUUUACUUUUAUGAUUAAAUUUUAUCAGUUUUGCUGUCAAAGGUCCUAAUAAAAAAAGCCAUAAAGCAGAACUUAUUUUUUUAGUUAGUCAAUGUUACAGAUUCAAUAAAAGGAUUAUGAAAAAUUCCUCAAAUUAUUAUGAAAUUAGCGAGACCGCAUAGUAUAUUUACAACAAAAUAUCCUCUACAAUUCCACAUAGAGGAAUAAUACUGCAAUAAAAAUGUAUAUAUUCUGUUGAAAGAAUCACAUUCUCACUUUGGUCUUCAUCUUAGAUUGAUUAGUUCACCCAAAAAUGAUCUAUUCCCCCUUAUGUCAAUCUAAAAUCGUAUAACUUUCUAUCUUCUGUGGAACACAGAAGGGAAAAUUCUAAAGAAUCUUCUGGUAAAUCUAGUUGCAUGAGGACUGAAGUUUUUAAGCAUCAAAAAGGACACAAAAACAAAACAAAAAGAACUAUCGUUAAAGUGUUCCAUGUGAUUGCUCUCCUUUGCAAAUUCAUGAAAAAAAAAAAAAAAAAAGAUGUCCAAUUUGUGAGCAAAACUGUUGUUUUAAGUUGGAUAUUUUCAAUGAAAUGAUUACAAAGAUUGAUUUCUGAAGUUCUGCUCAAUGACUCAAUGAUCAGUCACAACGAUUAAUAGUUCACAUUUUGUCCAACAUUCAAACUAAAAUAUCUGUAUUCAUAAUAUCUUAUUUAUUGUUCUGUAGGAGAAAGUCAAAUGGGUUAUAAUUUUUAAUUACCCAUAUAAUAUUUUUGGUUUAUAUAUUUGGGUGAAGUAUUCCUUAAAUAUAUUUAAGUAUUUCUGCCUUAUUUAUGUCACAAUGAUAGUAGAUCAUGUUUGAGAAGUCCUCAAUGACAUGUUGCACUUUCUAUCCUUCAAACAACAAACAAAAACAUUUCUUAUCUCUCUGACCUUCUGUGCUUCUACUUUUUUCAAUCCUAUCCACUUUCUCUCUCUUUCUCUGUGUGUGUGUCUGUGGUUUCUGUCACUGUUAUCUUUGCUUAGGUCUGUCUGAAACCCAAGUGCUUCUAAUGACACAUCACCCAAGUGCUGUGCUCUGAUAAUGCCUAGCUCUCUCUCUCUCUCUCUCUUUCUUUGUGUGUGUGUGUGUUUGUGUGUACAUGCAUACAUUUGUGUGUGAAGGGGAACCCAGAGUGGUGGCUUCCCAGUUUAAUAGCGAUGUGGUUUAGGGUGGAUAUGAGAGAACUCGGAACGUAUUUUCCACCUUUUGUCAUGCAGAGUUGCAUGUAUUUGCAUCAGUGUGUUGUGUGAUAGUGUGCUGAGUUCAGCUGUACUGUUUCAUAUAUUAAAGUUUAUUUGCUGUAAUUUAGAACAACUGAUAUAUAUCAAAUGUGUAUGUGUGUGUGCAAUUCUCAUUAUUAACUAGCUGCUUAUUAGCAUGCAUAUUACUAGGAUAUUGUCUGUUUAUUAGUACUUAUAAAGCACAUAUUUAUGCCAUAUUCUGCAUGACCAUAUUCUACAUCCCAUAAUCCUACCCAAUACCUAAACUUAACAACUACCUUACUAACUAUUAAUAAGCUGUAAUUAGGAGUUUAUUGAGGCAAAAGUUGUAGUUAAUAGUGAGAAUUGGACCCUAAUCUAAAGUGUGACCUUAUAUAUAUAUAUAUAUAUAUAUAUAUAGAGUUUAUUUAAAGUUUAGAUAUUCUAUAACAUAUAAUAUUGUGUGUGUGUGUGUGUGUGUGUGUGUAUAUAUAUAUAUAUAUAUAUACAGUCAAACCAAAAUGUAUUCAGACACCUUGAAAAUUUCAUUCAUUAAUACAGUUUAUUCACUAUAGUUUAAAAAAACUGUAAUAAAAUAUGACAAGAUCUCAGAGUUAAACUGUGUCAGAAAAAAAUAUCUUAAUUAUGUCAGAUAACACUUAAGCAAAACAUGGUCAGGUCAAAGUGUCUGAAUAAUCUUUGGUCGCAAAUUUUUAUUAGUUUUACUGGUAGUCCACUGUAUGAAGAAUUUGUGUGUAUAAUAUGUCACAGUUUACUUUAUUUUGCUAUCCUCACUUACAUAAAUGAACUAUAGUGUCCUGAACCCACUAGUAAAAAUAUAUCAAAAAUAUCUGAAUAAUUUUUGGUUUGACUAAUAUAUAUAUUAAUGUGUUAAAUAUCAUUUUACUAACAUUUAAUUUCUGACAAUGUAUAUUUCAUAUAUAUAUAUAAUGUAAUUACCUUUACAAGAUAACUCUUCAUGAAUCGAUGUGCUAAAAAUGUCUUAAAUAAAAAGAAUCUUAUUUAAA
Molecule: long non-coding RNA, 3113 nt
Organism: Ctenopharyngodon idella (grass carp)
Lineage: Eukaryota; Metazoa; Chordata; Actinopteri; Cypriniformes; Xenocyprididae
Exons: 2
Source: RefSeq, a predicted model, not a curated record